GAUGAACGCUAGCGGCAGGCUUAACACAUGCAAGUCGAGGGGUAUUGGUUUUCGGACCAAGAGACCGGCGCACGGGUGCGUAACGCGUAUGCAAUCUACCUUAUACAGGGGAAUAGCCCCAGAGAAAUUUGGAUUAAUGCCCCAUAGUGUUAUCGAAUCGCAUGGUUUGAUAACUAAAGUUCCAACGGUAUAAGAUGAGCAUGCGUCCCAUUAGUUAGUUGGUAAGGUAACGGCUUACCAAGACAAUGAUGGGUAGGGGUCCUGAGAGGGAGAUCCCCCCACACUGGUACUGAGACACGGACCAGACUCCUACGGGAGGCAGCAGUGAGGAAUAUUGGACAAUGGGGCGCAAGCCUGAUCCAGCCAUGCCGCGUGCAGGAAGACGGUCCUAUGGAUUGUAAACUGCUUUUAUACAGGAAGAAACACUCCCUCGUGAGGGAACUUGACGGUACUGUAUGAAUAAGCAUCGGCUAACUCCGUGCCAGCAGCC
This 490-nucleotide ribosomal RNA is filed under the name uncultured bacterium. Its description in RNAcentral is "bacterial SSU rRNA". It matches the Rfam family "Bacterial small subunit ribosomal RNA", at positions 28 to 516 of the family's 1533-position model. The record is from RNAcentral.